AUGAUCUUGUGCUGCACUGCUGAGGCACAGCCCCAGGAGCCUGCAAAGAACAGUUUUCAGGAUGCUGUUGUGAGCCCAGCAGUGCCCGGUGCAGCGGUGCCCUGUGUGGUGGUGCCCUGUGCGGCGAUGCCCGGUGCAGCGGUGCCCUGCAUGGCGAUGUCCUGCGUGGUGGUGCCCGGUGUAGCGGUGCCCUGCGCGGCAGUGCCCUGCGUGGUGGUGCCCUGCGCUGCAGUGCCCUGCGCGGCGAUGCCCGGUGCAGCGGUGCCCUGCAUGGCGAUGCCCUACGUGGUGGUGCCCUGUGCAGCGGUGCCCUGCGUGGCAGUGCCCUGCACGGUGGUGCCCGGUGCAGCGGUGCCCUGCACGGCGAUGCCCUGUGUGGUGGUACCCGGUGCAGCGGUGCCCUGCGCAGCAGUGCCCAGUGUGGCGGUGCCCUGCGCGGCAGUGCCCUGCACGGCGGUGCCCAGUGUGGUGGUGCCCUGCAUGGCGGUGCCCUGCGCGGCAGUGCCCUGCAUGGCGGUGCCCGGUGUGGCGGUGCCCUGUGUGGUGGUGCCCUGCAUGGCGGUGCCCUGCGCGGCAGUGCCCUGCAUGGCGGUGCCCGGUGUGGCGGUGCCCUGCAUGGUGGUGCCCUGCAUGGCGGUGCCCGGUGUGGCGGUGCCCUGCGCGGCGAUGCCCUGCGUGGUGGUGCCCUGCAUGGCGGUGCCCGGUACGGCGGUGCCCUGCGUGGUGGUGCCCUGCGCGGCAGCCCGGGCUGUGGCUGGGCCAGCCCUCUCCUCCUGCCAGCACGUGGCACAGCAGCGGCCGAGGGCAGCACGCUGCAGCCGGGGCCGUGAGGUUUGGGCACAAGGAUGCGGUGGAGGCUGUCCUCCCGGGUGCCAGGCCUGGCCCUGGGGCAGAGCCACAGCAAGCCCUGGAGAGCUGCGGGAUGCUGCAGCCAAAGCCGGGCUGGGCCCCCCCAUUUUCCCCUCACGGGAAGGAGCCGGGUGCUGUUCCCUCACAGGAGCUGGCAGCACAGCCAUGGCGGGCAGGGCCAGGGAAGGGCCUCCCUCGCCUCCCCAAGCCGUGCUCCACCACCUUGGCUAA
This 1080-nucleotide long non-coding RNA is filed under the name Falco tinnunculus (common kestrel). RNAcentral's name for it is "lncRNA (ENSFTIG00000014207.1)". Lineage: Eukaryota; Metazoa; Chordata; Aves; Falconiformes; Falconidae. The record is from RNAcentral.